Molecule: ribosomal RNA, 256 nt
Filed under: uncultured bacterium
Lineage: Bacteria
Description: partial 16S ribosomal RNA
Rfam family: Bacterial small subunit ribosomal RNA
Source: RNAcentral
UACGUAGGGGGCAAGCGUUGUUCGGAUUCAUUGGGCGUAAAGGGUGCGUAGGCGGCGCGGUAAGUCGGGUGUGAAAUCUCGGAGCUUAACUCCGAAACUGCAUUCGAUACUGCCGUGCUUGAGGACUGGAGAGGAGACUGGAAUUUACGGUGUAGCGGUGAAAUGCGUAGAUAUCGUAAGGAAGACCAGUGGCGAAGGCGGGAUCUCUGGACAGUUCCUGACGCUGAGGCACGAAAGGUCAGGGGAGCAAACGGGG